RNAcentral lists this non-coding RNA (30 nucleotides) under Mus musculus (house mouse). Lineage: Eukaryota; Metazoa; Chordata; Mammalia; Rodentia; Muridae. The record is from RNAcentral.
UGCCAAACCCUUCCUCAAAAUCAAAUUACU